GAUGAACGCUGGCGGCGUGCCUAAUACAUGCAAGUCGAGCGAACGGACGAGAAGCUUGCUUCUCUGAUGUUAGCGGCGGACGGGUGAGUAACACGUGGAUAACCUACCUAUAAGACUGGGAUAACUUCGGGAAACCGGAGCUAAUACCGGAUGAUAUUUUGAACCGCAUGGUUCAAAAGUGAAAGACGGUCUUGCUGUCACUUAUAGAUGGAUCCGCGCUGCAUUAGCUAGUUGGUAAGGUAACGGCUUACCAAGGCAACGAUGCAUAGCCGACCUGAGAGGGUGAUCGGCCACACGGGAACUGGGACACGGUCCAGACUCCUACGGGAGGCAGCAGUAGGGAAUCUUCCGCAAUGGGCGAAAGCCUGACGGAGCAACGCCGCGUGAGUGAUGAAGGUCUUCGGAUCGUAAAACUCUGUUAUUAGGGAAGAACAGAUGUGUAAGUAACUGUGCACAUCUUGACGGUACCUAAUCAGAAAGCCACGGCUAACUACGUG
Molecule: ribosomal RNA, 497 nt
Filed under: uncultured bacterium
Lineage: Bacteria
Description: partial 16S ribosomal RNA
Rfam family: Bacterial small subunit ribosomal RNA
Source: RNAcentral